This 1332-nucleotide long non-coding RNA is filed under the name Cricetulus griseus (Chinese hamster). RNAcentral describes it as "lncRNA (ENSCGRG00015030945.1)". The record is from RNAcentral. Lineage: Eukaryota; Metazoa; Chordata; Mammalia; Rodentia; Cricetidae.
CAGAGCCUGUGUGUGCCCUCAGAAAAUGGAAGGCUCUGGCUGGAGCUUGAGCAGAGACAUUCCGCUGGGCCUGGUGCUGAGAGGAAUGGAUUCCCACCUCAGGAGUGACAGGCUUCAGCCCUGCUCAAGGGUUCAGACCCAUCCUCAGAGCCCUGUGGGUUGAUCUGGGCACAGAUUUUACAAGAACCACUCUGUUCCUGGCGGGUUUCUGUCACUUUGUUUUCUUGUGUGCUCGGUGGCUUGUUCCUAACUCACAGCCAAUCACCGCACGGCCAGAUGGUGCGAAAGAUUUACCGGAAUUUCGUUUUCAAAUAAACCACAAGCUUGGAUGAUCUAAUGCUGUUCCACAUAAAAAAGCCACAAAACUGGACAAAUCAGCGCUGUUUCAAGAAAAGAACCUUGUCGAAGCCAUUGGCUUCGCCCAUCUCAAAUGACAGCCCUGAGACCUACAAGCAAGGGGUCCUUCCUGGAGGAGCCCAGCACACAAAGGACCAGGAAGCCCCUAGCCUGGUCAGCUAAAAUGUCUCUGCCAAGUUCACAUCCACACACUGAGCACCCAGGGAUGUCAAUACUCCCUUCCAUCCUGUCAGCACCAGGUUCCUUCACAGAUGCUGACUGGCUGCCUGGACUCGGGCACUGACCCAGAAGGCCCUCCGUGGCAGCUCAGCAGACAUGAACAGUGCAGGGAGAGUAGCCGACCUCACUCCCACAGCAGGGACAGGACACCUCAGAGAGUGCUCUCAAGACCAGCCCUAGACUACAUGUAACACAGCUCUGGGGUCCCAAACAGAACAGGCUUCUCCCAGUCUUCAGAUGGAGACAGCGGUGAACCAAUGGCACAGUCAUAAGAUAAGACCUGAGCAUGGAUCAAGUCCUACAGUGCACAGGGAGCACUUCCUACAGGGUGUGCGUGCCUGUCCGAGGGCCUCUGGAGGACAGAGCUGACUUUCCUUCCACCGUGACAGUUAAUGACAUCAACUGGGCGGGCUGUGGAAUCACCUGGGAGACAGGCCUGCAGGACUGAACACAGGCCAUCAGUAGAAGCAGCAAGAAGAGACCUUUCACAAAUGACUCCAUCUCUCACGUGAACGGACUUGCCCACAGACAGCCCGCCUCCUUUCCCUGAUGGACGGAUGUCCCCUGCCGCCGGGAAAAUGGCAACGACCUCACCCUUCUUGACUUUCGGAAGGAGGAAGAUGAGAAUGGAAACAGUGCCUAUCUCACAGGGCUGUUGCCGGGAUGAGAUGAUCAGUGCUUGCCAUGAACCUGGAAUAAUGCCCAGCAUGGAAUUACUACAUUGACUCUUGCUAAAUGAUUAAAGUAACAUCUUUG